UCGCACGAGAAAGUGGAGCAAUCCAUGAGUACAGUGGCGUACGGGUGAGUAACACGUGGGUAAUCUACCUCUUAGUGGGGGAUAUCACCCUGGGAAACCGGGGCUGAUAUCCCGCCAAAAGCCUGAGGAGGGAAAGCAGCAAUGCGCUGAGAGAGGAGCCCGCGGCCGAUUAGCUAGUUGGCAGGGUAAAAGCCUACCGAGGCAAAGAUCGGUAGCCGGCCUGAGAGGGCACACGGCCACACUGGCACUGAAACACGGGCCAGACUCCUACGGGAGGCAGCAGUGGGGAAUCUUGCACAAUGGGGGAAACCCUGAUGCAGCGACGCCGCGUGAGCGAUGAAGCCCUUCGGGGUGUAAAGCUCUUUCGUCAGGGAAGAUGAUGACGGUACCUGGAGAAGCAGCUGCGGCUAGCUCAGUGCCAGCAGCCGCGGUGAUAUCCGUAGGCAGCAAGCGUUGUUCGGAGUUACUGGGCGUAGAGGGUGUGUAGGCGGUUCUUUAAGUUUGGUGUGAAAUCUCCCGGCUCAACCGGGAGGGUGCGCCCAUUACUGAGGGACUCGAGUGCGGGAGAGAAGUGGAAUUCCUGGUGUAGCGGUGAAAUGCGUAGAUAUCAGGAGGAACACCGGUGGUGUAGACGGCUUUCUGGACCGUAACUGACGCUGAGACACCAUAGCGUGGGUAGCAAACAGGAUUAGAUACCCUGGUAGUCCACGCCCUAAACGAUG
This 722-nucleotide ribosomal RNA is filed under the name uncultured bacterium. RNAcentral describes it as "bacterial SSU rRNA". It matches the Rfam family "Bacterial small subunit ribosomal RNA", at positions 62 to 811 of the family's 1533-position model. The record is from RNAcentral.